CCCUUAGAUGUUCUGGGCCGCACGCGCGCUACACUGAUGCAUUCAACGAGCCUAUCCUUGACCGACAGGUCCGGGUAAUCUUUGAAUCUGCAUCGUGACGGGGAUAGAUUAUUGCAAUUAUUAAUCUUGAACGAGGAAUUCCUAGUAAGCACAAGUCAUCAGCUUGUGUUGAUUACGUCCCUGCCCUUUGUACACACCGCCCGUCGCUCCUACCGAUUGAAUGUUCCGGUGAGCUCUUCGGACUGCGCGGUCUGCAGUUUCUGCGUUCCGUGCGGAAAGUUGCGCAAACCUUAACAUUUAGAGGAAGGAGAAGUCGUAACA
RNAcentral lists this ribosomal RNA (321 nucleotides) under uncultured eukaryote. Its description in RNAcentral is "partial 18S ribosomal RNA". It matches the Rfam family "Eukaryotic small subunit ribosomal RNA", at positions 1470 to 1796 of the family's 1831-position model. The record is from RNAcentral.